Aphelenchus avenae is the source of this 95-nucleotide non-coding RNA. The record is from the annotation of a GenBank genome assembly. Lineage: Eukaryota; Metazoa; Nematoda; Chromadorea; Rhabditida; Aphelenchidae.
GGACCCGUGGCGCAGUGGUUAGCGCUGCGACUUUCCGUUCUAACGGCUCUCUCUUAAGGUACGUCUUUCAACGGUUCGAUUCCGCCGCGGAUCCG